UACGUAGGGGGCGAGCGUUGUCCGGAAUCAUUGGGCGUAAAGAGCUCUUAGGCGGCUCAGUAAGUCGGCUGUGAAAGCCCGGGGCUCAACCCCGGAACUGCAGUCGAUACUGCUGUGGCUAGAGUCCGGUAGAGGAGAGUGGAAUUCCCGGUGUAGCGGUGGAAUGCGCAGAUAUCGGGAGGAACACCAGUAGCGAAGGCGGCUCUCUGGGCCGGUAAUGACGCUGAGGAGCGAAAGCGUGGGGAGCAAACAGG
RNAcentral lists this ribosomal RNA (254 nucleotides) under uncultured bacterium. Its description in RNAcentral is "partial 16S ribosomal RNA". It matches the Rfam family "Bacterial small subunit ribosomal RNA", at positions 524 to 776 of the family's 1533-position model. The record is from RNAcentral.